Molecule: long non-coding RNA, 451 nt
Filed under: Trifolium pratense (red clover)
Lineage: Eukaryota; Viridiplantae; Streptophyta; Magnoliopsida; Fabales; Fabaceae
Description: long non-coding RNA (TPRA_LNC013673)
Source: RNAcentral
UGGUUAUAUAUCCAUAACCAAAUUUAUAACCAGUUUUAUAACCGGUUUAUAAUAAAAUAUGGUUAUGAUUAUGAAUCCAAAUCCAAUUAAAUGGUUUCGGUUUGGAUAUGGUUUGGUUUGUCAAAUUAUCCGACCAUGCACACCCCUAGUGAUUAUGAAGUUGGAUCCAUGAAAUGUGGGAUAUUUUUUGAGUUUGGUUUGUUUGCUACUAUGUUUGUAGUUAGUAAGUUAGUACUAUUUUGAAUGUUGGUGAUAGAUAAGGGAAAAGAGGAAGGUGACAAGGAGAUGGAUGGAUCCUGGAAAUGGGUGGGUUGUGUGUAUGAGAAGAUGAGAUGAGACAGACAAUGGUGGUUUAAUAAAGUGGAAAUAUAUAUAUCAUUAAUGUGUUGAACACUUAAACCAACCAACGACUAUAUUUUGAGGGAAUAGUUAACUCUUUUUACUUGUCCCG